ACAUCAAUAAAAGCGCCAGCACAAGUGAGUGAUACAACCAUACUCUAUAUUUUAAAACAGAAAAUAUAUGAGGGUUAUUGAUGUCGCUUGUAGACGAGGAGGAUAGUGAUCGAACUUUUUCGGCGGAUGCUAUCCCGGAUGUGGCUCAUUCGUUAGCUUAUUAAUUAAAUCAGCAAGGUGACUUGUUGGACAAAGUUAAUAAGAUCGCCAACA
This 213-nucleotide non-coding RNA is filed under the name Staphylococcus chromogenes. Its description in RNAcentral is "GlcN6P sequence". It matches the Rfam family "glmS glucosamine-6-phosphate activated ribozyme aptamer". Rfam says of the family: This entry contains a glucosamine-6-phosphate activated ribozyme that is found in the mRNA for GlmS. GlmS is an enzyme that uses fructose-6-phosphate and glutamine to generate glucosamine-6-phosphate. The ribozyme catalyses self cleavage of the glmS mRNA that is thought to regulate GlmS activity. The record is from RNAcentral. Lineage: Bacteria; Bacillati; Bacillota; Bacilli; Caryophanales; Staphylococcaceae.